UACACACCGCCCGUCACACCAUGGGAGUUGGUUUUUACCCGAAGACGGUGCGCUAACCAGCAAUGGAGGCAGCCGGCCACGGUAGGGUCAGCGACUGGGGUG
RNAcentral lists this ribosomal RNA (102 nucleotides) under uncultured bacterium. Its description in RNAcentral is "partial 16S ribosomal RNA". It matches the Rfam family "Bacterial small subunit ribosomal RNA", at positions 1384 to 1482 of the family's 1533-position model. The record is from RNAcentral.